Long non-coding RNA from Uranotaenia lowii, 338 nucleotides. RefSeq lists it as uncharacterized. The record is from RefSeq and is a predicted model, not a curated record. The transcript has 3 exons. NCBI's taxonomy places the organism in Eukaryota, Metazoa, Arthropoda, Insecta, Diptera, Culicidae.
UUUCGUGGGUACGUAAAUGAGAUAAUAGCUGUUCCAAUCAACCAGAUGACCGGCGCACUGGGUGUGUGAAAUAGAAUCAACACUUUUGUCAGGUCGGGCUACGCAGUCUCCCAGAUAUUUCUUUUGAUUUAUUUGAAGCUGUUUCAUCUGAUGCAUCGCCGAUUCCCCGGCCGUGGGGACCUCUCUUCUGACCAGCCACGAGAGAAUCGCAGUUUCCAGGAGAAUAACCUUGCCCCCUUCCUGGAUCGUUGGCCUCAAAAUGACUGCCAGUACAUCCAAAUCAAUUCCAGCGGCAUAACGAUGAAUUAUCGUAGUUCUAAGCAGACCAUUGUACUGUG